This 460-nucleotide ribosomal RNA is filed under the name uncultured bacterium. Its description in RNAcentral is "partial 16S ribosomal RNA". It matches the Rfam family "Bacterial small subunit ribosomal RNA", at positions 338 to 795 of the family's 1533-position model. The record is from RNAcentral.
CCUACGGGAGGCUGCAGUGAGGAAUAUUGGUCAAUGGACGCAAGUCUGAACCAGCCAAGUAGCGUGCAGGAUGACGGCCCUCCGGGUUGUAAACUGCUUUAAGUUGGGAAUAAAAUGUUCCACGUGUGGGAUUUUGUAUGUACCAUAUGAAUAAGGAUCGGCUAACUCCGUGCCAGCAGCCGCGGUAAUACGGAGGAUCCGAGCGUUAUCCGGAUUUAUUGGGUUUAAAGGGAGCGUAGGUGGAUUGUUAAGUCAGUUGUGAAAGUUUGCGGCUCAACCGUAAAAGUGCAGUUGAAACUGGUAGUCUUGAGUACAGUAGAGGUGGGCGGAAUUCGUGGUGUAGCGGUGAAAUGCUUAGAUAUCACGAAGAACUCCGAUUGCGAAGGCAGUUCACUGGACUGCAACUGACACUGAGGCUCGAAAGUGUGGGUAUCAAACAGGAUUAGAUACCCGGGUAGUC